RNAcentral lists this transfer RNA (62 nucleotides) under Proasellus ortizi. Its description in RNAcentral is "transfert RNA-Y(TAC)". The record is from RNAcentral. Lineage: Eukaryota; Metazoa; Arthropoda; Malacostraca; Isopoda; Asellidae.
AGUUAGGUGGCUGAUAAAAGCGUUAAAUUGUAAAUUUAAUUAUAGAAUUAUUCUCCUUAUUA